RNAcentral lists this long non-coding RNA (653 nucleotides) under Zonotrichia albicollis (white-throated sparrow). Its description in RNAcentral is "lncRNA (ENSZALG00000000168.1)". The record is from RNAcentral. Lineage: Eukaryota; Metazoa; Chordata; Aves; Passeriformes; Passerellidae.
GCUGGUGCCACAGGGCCUUCAGACUGGGCCACCUCUCUGUGGUGACGUGUGACAGUGACACCUCCACAUCCCAACUUCUCCAAGGUCAGAUGGUGCCUCUGGAAUCUCUGGGGUGACAGUGACACCUCCAUAUCCCAACCUCUCCAAGGUGCCUCUGGAAUCUCAGGAGUGACAGUGACACCUCCACAUCCCAACNCUGGAGAAAUCCAUGGGAAUUCAGGGGAAGGGAAAGGUUUUCCACUAGAGAAAUCCAUAGGAACUAAGGGAAAGGUUUUCCCUUGGAAAAAUCCAUGGGAAUUCAGGGGAAGGGAAAGAUUUUCUCCUGGAGAAACCCAUGGGAAUUCAGGAGAAGGGAAAGGUUUUCCACUGGAGGAAUCCACCAGAAUUCAGGGGAAGGGAAAGGUUUUCCCUUGGAGAAAUCCAUGGGAAUUUAGGGAAGGUUGUCCACUGGAGAAAUCCAUGAGAAUUCAGGGGAAGGGAAAGGUUCUCCACUAGAGAAAUCCAUAGGAACUAAGGGAAAGGUUGUCCCUUGGAGAAAUCAGUGGGAAUUCAGGGAAAUGGAAAGGUUUUCCACUGGAGAAAUCCACGGGAAUUCAGGGGAAGGGAAAGGUUCUCUAUUGGAGAAAUCCAUGGGAAUUCAGGGGAAGGGAAAG